RNAcentral lists this ribosomal RNA (514 nucleotides) under uncultured bacterium. Its description in RNAcentral is "partial 16S ribosomal RNA". It matches the Rfam family "Bacterial small subunit ribosomal RNA", at positions 28 to 523 of the family's 1533-position model. The record is from RNAcentral.
GACGAACGCUGGCGGCGUGCCUAAUACAUGCAAGUCGAGCGGACUUUCAAGAAGCUUGCUUUUGAAAGUUAGCGGCGGACGAGUGAGUAACACGUGGGCAACCUGCCUGUAAGACGGGGAUAACUCCGGGAAACCGGGGCUAAUACCGGAUAAUAUCAUUCUUCGCAUGAAGGAAGGUUGAAAGGCGGCGCAAGCUGCCGCUUGCAGAUGGGCCCGCGGCGCAUUAGCUAGUUGGUGAGGUAACGGCUCACCAAGGCGACGAUGCGUAGCCGACCUGAGAGGGUGAUCGGCCACACUGGGACUGAGACACGGCCCAGACUCCUACGGGAGGCAGCAGUAGGGAAUCUUCCGCAAUGGACGAAAGUCUGACGGAGCAACGCCGCGUGAGCGAAGAAGGUCUUCGGAUCGUAAAGCUCUGUUGUCAGGGAAGAACAAGUACCGUUCGAAUAGGGCGGUACCUUGACGGUACCUGACCAGAAAGCCACGGCUAACUACGUGCCAGCCGCCGCGGUAA